AUGGCGGAAUCCUUGGACUUUGUGCCAGGGGCCGAGCAGGCGAGGCAGCGCGUGAACGCCUUCGUGGCGGACGCGAUGAACAAGCUCAUCCGCGACGUCCUCCCUCCCAGCUCCGUCGACUCGUCCACGGCGGUCGUCCUCGCCAACGCGCUCUACUUCAAAGGGGCGUGGACACAGCCGUUCGACGUCUCCACCAUGCCGUUCCACAUCCCAGGCGGCACCACCGGGCGCGUGCCAUCCAUGACCACAAGCCGGUCACAGCGCAUCGCGGUCUACCCGGGCUUCAGGGCCCUCAAGCUGCCGUACAAGAACGACGUGCAGCAGCAAGCUGAAUUCUACAUGCUUAUCCUACUACCGGACAGGGACACUGUUAGUCUCGCCGAUCUGUAUGACAAGGCUGUGUCGACGCCGGAGUUCAUCAAGACGCACACGCCAGCGGGUAAGGUUCCAGUCGGGCGGUUCAUGGUCCCCAAGUUCAAGUUCACGUAUGAGUUUGAGGCGUCUUCGGACAUGCGAAAGCUUGGUGUCAAUAGGGCUUUUCAUGGCGGCGACUUCUCCGGUAUGGUGAGCAGCAGAGAUGGGGGGCUCACCAUCACCGGGGUGUACCAUAAGGCCACCAUUGAGGUGGACGAGGUAGGCACCGCGGCCGCCGCUGCCACCGUCGUCGUAAUCGGGCGUACUACGGCACCACGACCAAGGUAUCUGGUGGAUUUUGUGGCGGAUCGGCCCUUCUUAUUUGGCGUGGUUGAGGAGAUGACAGAUGCGGUUUUGUUCCUUGGUCACGUGGUUGAUCCUCUCACUUGCUAA
This 807-nucleotide ribosomal RNA is filed under the name Triticum aestivum (bread wheat). RNAcentral describes it as "partial small subunit ribosomal RNA". Lineage: Eukaryota; Viridiplantae; Streptophyta; Magnoliopsida; Poales; Poaceae. The record is from RNAcentral.